Molecule: ribosomal RNA, 468 nt
Filed under: uncultured bacterium
Lineage: Bacteria
Description: partial 16S ribosomal RNA
Rfam family: Bacterial small subunit ribosomal RNA
Source: RNAcentral
GACGAACGCUGGCGGCGUGCUUAACACAUGCGAGUCGAACGGAAAGGCCCUGCUUUUGUGGGGUGCUCGAGUGGCGAACGGGUGAGUAACACGUGAGUAACCUGCCCUUGACUUUGGGAUAACUUCAGGAAACUGGGGCUAAUACCGGAUAGGAGCUCCUGCUGCAUGGUGGGGGUUGGAAAGUUUCGGCGGUUGGGGAUGGACUCGCGGCUUAUCAGCUUGUUGGUGGGGUAGUGGCUUACCAAGGCUUUGACGGGUAGCCGGCCUGAGAGGGUGACCGGCCACAUUGGGACUGAGAUACGGACCAGACUCCUACGGGAGGCAACGGUGGGGAAUAUUGCACAAUGGGCGGAAGCCUGAUGCAGCAACGCCGCGUGCGGGAUGAAGGCCUUCGGGUUGUAAAACGCUUUCGCCUGUGACGAAGCGUGAGUGACGGUAAUGGGUAAAGAAGCACCGGCUAACUACGUG